This 421-nucleotide ribosomal RNA is filed under the name uncultured Dysgonomonas sp. RNAcentral describes it as "bacterial SSU rRNA". It matches the Rfam family "Bacterial small subunit ribosomal RNA", at positions 356 to 774 of the family's 1533-position model. The record is from RNAcentral. Lineage: Bacteria; Pseudomonadati; Bacteroidota; Bacteroidia; Bacteroidales; Dysgonomonadaceae.
GAGGAAUAUUUGUCCAUGGGCGAGAGCCUGAACCAGCCAAGUCGCGUGAAGGGAGACUGCCCUAUUGGUUGUAAAAUUCUUUUAUACAGGAAUAAAAAAGCUUUACUGUUUGGCAUUUUCAGUUCUUUAUGAAUAAACAUCUGCUAACUCCGUGCCAGCAGCCGCGGUAAUACGGAGGAUGCGAGCGUUAUCCGGAUUUAUUGGGUUUAAAGGGUGCGCAGGCGGGCUUUUAAGUCAGCGGUGAAAUCUGGACGCUUAACGUCCAAACUGCCGUUGAAACUGGGAGUCUUGAGUAUGGAUGAAGUAGGCGGAAUUCGUUGUGUAGCGGUGACAUGCAUAGAUAUAACGAGGAACUCCGAUUGCGUAGGCAGCUUACUAAGCCAUAACUGACGCUCAUGCACGAAAGCGUGGGGAUCAAACA